Long non-coding RNA from Anopheles merus, 3351 nucleotides. RefSeq lists it as uncharacterized. The record is from RefSeq and is a predicted model, not a curated record. The transcript has 3 exons. Lineage: Eukaryota; Metazoa; Arthropoda; Insecta; Diptera; Culicidae.
AGUUGUGUGAUUAUUACUUAAGAAAAAAGUGUUGAAUAGUAGUUUGGUGCAUUUUAACGGUGUUUGGUGUGGCUGUAGUUGUUUUUGGUGGAGCAGGCGAUAUUAAGGUACAAUUCAUAUCGGGUGAUAAUUGUACAGGGUGCAUCGGGCUAUGUCGAACAGGUAUAGGUGUGUUUGUGUUGGUAAGAUCAGGACGAUGGUGAGACGGCCUUUGCGGGAGUGAGAUAAACUCACGCACACCGAGCCCGACCGGCCAAGAUCCUGCGCAAACUAAAAGCGAUGACGUCCGUGGUGUCCAACUGUGAUUUUACCAUCGACACUACCUGGUCAACAGUGACGGUUUUGGCUAACCUAGAUAGAUGUAGCCACAUAUAGUUUGUUCUUGGUAGUUGUGACACGGUUGGGAUCGACGUGGUGGUGGUAUCGGUUCCUGUUAUUAUUGGUGGUAGUGAAGGGCGAUUUCUUUGGUGAGUAUUGUCGGUGUCUGUAUUUACAGGGUAUAGUGGAGCAUUGUCAACAACAAUGGCUUCCGUGGAUGCAACAACGUCACGGAACAACCUUCUACGCUUUCCACUCGGGAGGGCAUCUGGGGGCGGUAAGUUGAAGUGUUCGCUAGGAGCUUGGUGAGCCGCGGCAAAACUGGCAAAGCCCUCACGGAUUUCGUGCAUCACAGGCGGGACUAAAGCAGCUUUCAUCACCUCGACAGCGGCAGUAAGAGCCGCCUGGAAGCCGACCUGCAUACCCGUUGUUUUGACUGCUUUACUAUGUGGGUUGCCAAGAGCAUUCGAACACCCUACACAGCUCCAAUGAAGAGAUGCCGUCCGUUUUACCUCUUCGAUCACAGUGAAAGUUGCCGUUGCAGAUAGAUGCCACAGGACUCAGGAACAAACGCAGGAAAUACAGCAAAGUCAGGAAUGGUUGUGACGAACGAUUGAAGGCAGGACUACCAGGGACAGCUUAAGUCACAGCUAAGCGGCAGUUUGACGAAAAUGAGGCCGAAACGACAAAAUAAUUCACGGAUUUACGCGGAGCACAGUGAGAAAACACACUCUGUCGUCAGCUGUCAACUGUCAACUUCAAUUACAAUUUUGAAUAUGACCCACGGUUUUUAGAACACCAAACCGAAACACCGGUUUAAUAAUGUUCCGAGGUGUAAUGAAGAUCGAAAUGAAAUUUCAGGAACCCAAUCUGGGCCGGGAUAGAAGCAACGCAAUAGUUAGGGUAGAAUCGAAAUACCUGGUAUACGUCUAUCCAAACGCCUUUCAGUUUUGCUUUGAACCAUUACCCCAACCAUUUCAAAAAUACCCAGACUCGACAUUACUCUCGGCAAUCAUUUGUUUGAUUUCUUAACGGUGGAUGGGUUUGCAGCUAACGAGCAGAACACGAACGAUAUUUGCGGCAGCACUCGAUCUGUGUAUGCCUGUACACACACAAACACGCUCUGAGGUGGUGUAUAUGCAGAGUCCUUAAAUCAGCUGAAAAUACAAUUCAAAGUACACCGUUGCAGUCGGGUUGAUGAAUGAAAUAUGACGGUGGCAGCAAAGAUGAGGGAAUGUAGCAAACUAAUUAUGAUGUAAGGUUGCAGGAAAGCUUUCAUCAGUGCUGGAACACGACUCUGACGAGGAAAGUUAUUACAUUCAGUUUAAUUAAAAUAUGCGUCCAUCUUUCGCAUGAGCGGAUAUGUUUGCUAUACGUACCGUGAGUCUCAUUCCAUUGGAAGCAAGCACCAACGCGUUCAGUUUCCAGCAAUUCAAAAGCUGAUGACGCUAUUCCUUGAACUAAGCGGCUAUGUAUGCACAAAACUAAAAUUACAGCCACGAGUACCAUCAUCGAACAUCAGCGUUUUAACGAUGUAAUCCUUUUUAUUUAUGCUGAUAGUUAAUUCUUUAGUGGCCAUUUUUCCCAAGCUUUACUUUCUGACGUGAGCAUCUUCACAGAAUUGAAGUAUGCAAAUAAGAAAAUUGGAUAUUUACAGAGGGGAGCUUAAGAAAAUGCUCUACAGCUGCACUACUGCAACUUUUCGAGCAUCUUUCACUCUGAGAUGUUGCUACAGCCAAUUUGGGCAAAGAUUGUGAGUUUGUUUGCUCUACUUUCAACUCGAAUGCUUGGAACAAUCUGAAACAUGCCAUUACAAUACUGCUACAUAAUUAAUACACCCUGUGUAUUAAUGUACUAUGUACAGAGUGUGUGCAUCCUUGCAAACCAAACAUGCUUUGUACGUUCUUUCUCCUCUGCUCAAUAUUGUUUACAUUUUCUCCCUUUGCUUUGCAAAGCGCGGCAGAACGGACGGUGCAUUAACGACCAGAGCCGCGUGUAUACGCGCAUAGCAUCUUCGAGUCUGCCUUUUGCGUUCGGCAACGAAAACUUCUGGCAUCUAGGAAGCUUGUAGUGUGUUAAAAUUAUCCACAUGUCAGGUUUAGUUUUGCUGAUGCUUUGCACAUACACAUGUCCGCUUCUCCAGGUACUGACUUGUCUUGUUGGAAGUUGAUUGGAUGGGUUUAGCGUGAACACGUCGGUUUCUGUACUGCGCCUCAAAGACAUGGGUGUUUUGAGGAAAACUGAUCGUACAGUGCGUGUGCGUGUGUGUGAAUGUAGAUAUUUGUGUAUGUGUUGGUAUGGGAAACUAAACGAAACUUGCAGGAGUAAUUUUAUUCAGAUCCCCUCCUAAGAGUGCACUUGGUUUGUGAGGAUGUGUAGCUGACUACCACUUGAGAUGGGUAUAGAGAUGAUAUUAAUUUGUCACGCGAAAAUGAAAGAAGCCUUGUUGUUAACCUUUAAGCCGUGUUGUUUUAUGUUUUUUUAACUCGGGUUUUAUAAAUGCAUGUUUUAGAUCAAUUUUUUUUUGUUUUAUUUCUAGCAUUUAUUUAUCUUUUUUUAGUAUUAAAAACAACACUUACAAAAUAAUACCCAAAAUAACGUUAUUUUAACUGCCAUAUUGAAAUCCAAGAAUUUAAUCUGCAUUCUCUAAGGCGAAAUUUUUAUAUUAUUAGUUUUAUAAAUUUUCUCAAGACACAACAAAUAUUACUAUUUUUUGUGUAUAUCUCCUACUAGAAAAUCUUUUCAAAUUAUUCGAACAUCUAAAAGAUUUUUUAAGGACGACUGUUUAUUAUUUUAUUAGUUAAUAAGCUGGCUAGAAACAAGAAAUCGAAAUUUUGUUUGCAAUUAUUAAAUUGAUAUUUUUGCCUACGAUGCUCUGGUGCUUGAAUUUUAUGCCAUCCUUCGUGUUUAUGGUUAAUUAAAUAAAAUGCCACAAAAAAGAAUCAGGACGAGCACCAAUUCAUAUUAUAGGAACAAUAAUUGAAUCUCGAAAUGAGGGGUUUGGUAUUGAAGCACCUGAGUUAGUGAGUGAAA